RNAcentral lists this ribosomal RNA (446 nucleotides) under uncultured bacterium. Its description in RNAcentral is "bacterial SSU rRNA". It matches the Rfam family "Bacterial small subunit ribosomal RNA", at positions 329 to 792 of the family's 1533-position model. The record is from RNAcentral.
CUCCAGACUCCUACGGGAGGCAGCAGUGGGGGAUAUUGCACAAUGGAGGAAACUCUGAUGCAGCGACGCCGCGUGAGGGAAGACGGUCUUCGGAUUGUAAACCUCUGUCUUUGGGGAAGAAAAUGACGGUACCCAAAGAGGAAGCUCCGGCUAACUACGUGCCAGCAGCCGCGGUAAUACGUAGGGGGCAAGCGUUAUCCGGAUUUACUGGGUGUAAAGGGAGCGUAGACGGCAGUGCAAGUCUGGAGUGAAAGGCGGGGGCUCAACCCCCGGACUGCUCUGGAAACUGCGUCGCUGGAGUACGGGAGGGGCAGGCGGAAUUCCUGGUGUAGCGGUGAAAUGCGUAGAUAUCAGGAGGAACACCGGCGGCGAAGGCGGCCUGCUGGACCGUGACUGACGUUGAGGCUCGAGAGCGUGGGGAGCAAACAGGAUUAGAUACCCUGGUA